ACCGGCGCACGGGUGAGUAACGCGUAUGCAACCUGCCCGAUACCGGGGUAUAGCCCAUGGAAACGUGGAUUAACACCCCAUAGUACUUUUAUCCUGCAUGGGAUGUGAGUUAAAUGUUCAAGGUAUCGGAUGGGCAUGCGUCCUAUUAGUUAGUUGGCGGGGUAACAGCCCACCAAGACGAUGAUAGGUAGGGGUUCUGAGAGGAAGGUCCCCCACAUUGGAACUGAGACACGGUCCAA
RNAcentral lists this ribosomal RNA (239 nucleotides) under uncultured bacterium. RNAcentral describes it as "partial 16S ribosomal RNA". It matches the Rfam family "Bacterial small subunit ribosomal RNA", at positions 94 to 334 of the family's 1533-position model. The record is from RNAcentral.